GUGGGGAAUAUUGCACAAUGGGCGCAAGCCUGAUGCAGCAACGCCGCGUGAGGGACGACGGCCUUCGGGUUGUAAACCUCUUUUAGCAGGGAAGAAGCGAAAGUGACGGUACCUGCAGAAAAAGCACCGGCUAACUACGUGCCAGCAGCCGCGGUAAUACGUAGGGUGCAAGCGUUGUCCGGAAUUAUUGGGCGUAAAGAGCUCGUAGGCGGUUUGUCGCGUCUGCUGUGAAAACCCGAGGCCCAACCUCGGGCCUGCAGUGGGUACGGGCAGACUAGAGUGCGGUAGGGGAGAUUGGAAUUCCUGGUGUAGCGGUGGAAUGCGCAGAUAUCAGGAGGAACACCGAUGGCGAAGGCAGAUCUCUGGGCCGUAACUGACGCUGAGGAGCGAAAGCGUGGGGAGCGAACAGGAUUAGAUACCCCGGUAGUCC
RNAcentral lists this ribosomal RNA (430 nucleotides) under uncultured bacterium. Its description in RNAcentral is "partial 16S ribosomal RNA". It matches the Rfam family "Bacterial small subunit ribosomal RNA", at positions 354 to 796 of the family's 1533-position model. The record is from RNAcentral.